This 253-nucleotide ribosomal RNA is filed under the name uncultured bacterium. Its description in RNAcentral is "partial 16S ribosomal RNA". It matches the Rfam family "Bacterial small subunit ribosomal RNA", at positions 524 to 776 of the family's 1533-position model. The record is from RNAcentral.
UACGUAGGGGGCUAGCGUUGUCCGGAAUCAUUGGGCGUAAAGCGCGUGUAGGCGGUCCGGUAAGUCCGCUGUGAAAGUCGGGGGCUCAACCCUCGGAUGCCGGUGGAUACUGUCGGGCUUGAGUACGGAAGAGGCGAGUGGAAUUUCUGGUGUAGCGGUGAAAUGCGCAGAUAUCAGGAGGAACACCAAUUGCGAAGGCAGCUCGCUGGGACGUUACUGACGCUGAGACGCGAAAGCGUGGGGAGCAAACAGG